AGCUAUUGGAGGCAGUCGACGAAGAUAUAAGCAUAAGUGGUGAACACAAAACGCCAUCCAGACAGGUGUCACCAAACCCGGCACUUCCGAACGCAAUUGCUCGACCGUCCCUAACUCGCUCAUCGCCUGAACGGAAUGGAGAUUUAUUUGCAGCAAGAGACGAGCAGGAGAAACUACUUAAAUAACGACUAGAUUAUCCAUGAACCCCUUGUAAUCUAAUCGGCUUAACCCUUAUCAAACCUUAUAUACCCUUAUAACCUCAACACACUGUAAUCCUAACUAUUUCUUCUUAAAAACCUAUUAUAUUUUUAUGUGUCUAGUAGCGUUUGAUGGAAAGCAAGAGUUAUUUAUAGAUUAUAUCAGAUGAUAAAAGGGGAGGGAUGUAUCAGAGCUCCUGGACAUUUCGCCCGAAAUUUAAAUUGUUAACAUAACUUCUGUCGUUAUUAACCCAUGCAAUGUGAACCCCAUGCAUUCAUAACCCGUGUAAUCUUAACCCAGUGUAAUUCUACAGUUUACGACGUGAACCCUUGUAACCCUUAUUAUAUUUCAAAAAUAUAUUAUGUUAUCAAUAUGUAAAAAUAAAUAGGACAAUAAUCAUAGGGUCACAUACCUUCUAGAAAGAAAAAUACAAAAAAAUUCUGAGAAAGAAGAAAAUUACAAAAAAGAAAUCAAUUUCUUUUUUAAUUAGCGUGGCGGCAAUUUAAAUUGGCCAUCUUGGUUCUUAUUUUUUGGUUUGUAGCUGAAACACUGUCGGUUUAUCAGAUACACCUCGCUGACAGAUACACAGACGGCUCGUAGUAUCAUAGGGUUUCCGUUAUUUACUUUUUUAACUUUAACAAGGACUUAAGAAAGAAGGUAACGACUAGAUAGAGCCUCUUGCUGUUAGACAACCGAUGAAAACGGGCCAGGUUUAUUACUUUAGUGUGCGUGACGAGCUACGUCUAACAAGAGAUUUGAAUGUCACUUUAUGUUAGUUCGCGACAUCGCGUGCAUUGCUGAAAAUAGAGGUUAACUGUUAACCUCUAUUUUUUCGGCGUUUUCCCAACUUUCACAGCCUAUCUAGACGUAUAAGUGAACUAAUCUGUGAACUUUCUUUCUUAACUCCUUGUAAUCUUGUGCCCAAUCCCCGUGACUUCAAACUUGAAGUAAAAUUCCCAAGUCCAAUUUAGAUGUAAAAGACCAACCUUCCAGUAUUAAAAGUAUCCGAAUUCUUCACGCCAACCGUACUAUCGCCGACUUUUGUCGUCUCUUUCUAACGUAAGUGUAUUCUGUGUAAUUAGAAUGGGACGCACUCGUUUUUGGUAGAUUUAGCCCGUGCACUUUUAGAUUUGACGUAAAUGAUAUAAUCGUUACAAUGUGUUAUUUUAAGUGUUUCCCUCACUACUGUUGUCGUUUGUGUAAAAUUUAUGGACGAUGCGUGACACGCCGCAGUGCUACAGUGUAUAUAUAUCAGCUAAAGCAGUAUAGAAACUACGUACAAACGUUCGAAACGACGGAUGCACGCACACAGACGCAGGUCUCAACAAGGCCAAUAAGCGAAGAGACAUUCAUGACACCUGCUUAUGUGUGCGUGCAUUAUAUCUUACGUAAUUUCCAUAAUGUUUCAACUAAUAUAUACUGUGACAGUACUUUCAUCACGUAGCCACGGUAAUGUUAUACAGGGUGUCCCAAAGUUAUAUGACAUGAAGGGAAAGUUAGAAUUACUAACUUUUAAAAAUAACAUAAAGUCUUAUUUCAGUAAAAUAGCCUAUCUUCGAUAUUUAAGGUACUUUCCCUUCAUGUCUCAUAACUUUGGGACACCCUGUAUAUAUGAAUACUGUAUAUUCUAACUCGACUCCUUGUACUUAAUACUUAUGGCAUCCGCGUGGUACGUAAACAGCGAUAGGGCUGUCGGCUUAAAUUAUAUUAAUUUCAUCUACUUUCUAGUUUUGUGGCUGUAAAUAUUAUCGGUGUGUCAAAAAAAUAAUUUAAACAUGGCUUAGGCACGCGUUUUGUUAGUGAUCUAACACUAACGACGUGACGUCUAAAAUGGUGCCUAUAAUAAUAAUAAUAAUUUUAUUUUAUUUUUCCAGUAGAACAUUAAUAAUAAUCUCUAAAGAAUCUUAUAAACUCUUAGAGAAAUCUUAAAAAUUCAACGUGGUGAUAUAUAAUUUAUUCUAUAAAAGUAUUUUCAAUUCGCACGCUCACAAAACCACCACAACGUUCGUUCAUCACUGCGGUAUAUUCGCGAUCGUCUUGUGUACUGAGUGUCUACCGAAUUCGAGCCACGUGGGCAUAAAAUGAUGACGGAUAAUGCGUAAAUCUGGUACCUAUGUUUGUUGAACUUUCUAUUUUUGAUGCCAAUUACAGGAUCUACAUAAAAAUUGUAUAAUAAUUUCUUAUUGUAUUAGAUACUAGCUGACCCGGCAAACGUUGUUUUGCCAUAUAAAUUGUAUUGAUCAUUUGCUUGCUAGUUGAUAAGAGAUGGCGCUAGUUGUAUUCAUUAGCAACAAUCACACUUCUUUUAUAUUUUGUAUAAUUCACACUAUAGUUUUAUAAAUUAUAGCCUAUUUGUUAUUCUGGUGUGUAAGCUAUAUUAUUGUUAAGUUUCAUCAAAAUCUAUUCAGUAGAUUUUGCGUUAAAGAAGUUCAAACAUACAUCCAGACAUACAAAGUUUCACAUUUAUAAUAUUAGUAGGAUAUUCCUAGUUUUAUACUUACUGAUAUUUAACAAAUCAAUUCCGGCGAGUCAUCCGAAGUACACCAGUUUCCUUAAAGGAUAGGCUUUUCCGUAAAGGGUUUAUACAGUUUACAGUAUUCAUAAGGUACAGACGGAAUAUAUAAAGUACAAAGUAGGGACAGAAAAACAAUAUAUUUAUACAUCCUUAAUAUUUAAUCGGCAUUAAGUACUUUAUAAACUUAUAGAAUUAUAUAAACAUUUUGGUAGUUACACUAAUUGCCAGUGAUUGGUAUGACCUACGCACCUCCGGACCUAGCGAAGCGUUACUGUCAACAACUUCUCGAUUUUUCCAAUCUGUCCCAAUGGAAGGUGCGAUGGCAGCUUGUAUGAGCUUUCUUAUGUUACAUAAAAUAUUGAUACUUACCUUGUUUUUAGACUGAUUUUGAGUGCAUGCUAGUCGUAAAUACUCAGUAUUAAUAAUACUACCGUCAAAAUUACAACUUAUGUUUUAUAUAGCGUGGAGAUUCAAUGGCUUCUUAUAUUCAGUUAUGUGUUAUAGUUAUUUAGUUUUAGUUAGAUACCAAGUUUCAAUUAUUUGCUUUAAUUUGUAGACAUUAUUUUGCGCCAAAACAAUUUUUUGAAGUUCUAUUUCUUUAGGCACGUUAUGAAAAAAUUAUAGGAGUGAAAUUUUAAGAUGCGCGCGCAUCACUAUAACACAAAAGUAACGGGUGAAGUUGGUUCCUAAAAUUUUCUGACGUUUGAGACAUUCGUUAUUUUUUUUUUGGUUUCUUCGUCCAUUAUUAGGAUAGGCAAAGGGUUCAGACCGUACAGCCGUAUUCGUUUUUUAAUAAUCAAUAGUCAAAGCCAUCUUUGCAAGAUUUUUACAAAAUUGUUCUUUCUAAAAUAGUUUAGCUCGUUAGGCCAAAGAAGUAGAACUUCUUGCGUGCAUACACACACUUUUUUUUUAAAUUGAGAAACAAUCUUAUAUCCCUGGGGACUGGAGUUAUCCAAUCCUAACUCGAACACCGAUAGUCAGAUGUAAAAAAAACUUUGUACAACCCGUGAAUUGUUAAUAUUAAAUCUUUUGAUCAAAGUACUCAUUCCAUGUUAUUUUCUAACAUUCGUCUCGAAUCGGUACAUUUUUCCUUGGCUAAACUAUACACCUUCUCGUUACAUAAAACGUAUAGAUAUACUAGAAAAGUAACAAAUUUACCAUGACAUUAUAUUUAUGACAUUACAAAAAUCAGUAGUAUUGAGGGUAGAGGCCAGGAGAUUCAUCUCAUAUGGGAGUAAAAUGAUGAAAAAGUGUCCAGCUUAUGCUGUAAAUAACAGUUCAAAAGGCAUCCACAAUGGCGCUGGUGUAGACACAAGAUAUGGUAUGAAGUAUGGUGAAUGCAGCAAUUAUAAACGAAUUGAAGUAUGCAGAGUUAAAAAAGCUAAUAUUAUUGUGGACAAAAGUAGUUAAUUAUUGAAGAUUUCAACAAUUUACGUUGUACAAAAUAAUGUAACAUAACCUUAAAGAAUUAUUAUAGGAAAACGUACACCUAGAUUGAUUAGUAUUAUUUUGUAUUUGGCGCUACUUUAAAGAUUAACCUGAUGCUCCCCUAAUUUAAAGCAUUUUGAUGGACACUUUCAUAUACACAGAUAAUUCUCCUCUACCCUCCAUAAUCAGUAGGUACACAUAAUAGACAUCAAUAUUUUUUAUAUUCUAUGAAAUCAAUAUUAACUAACAAUUAUUUGUACUGUACUUGAAACAAUUUUUUGAUAGAAAUCAAAAAUCCCGAAACCUGAGUUCCAUCAACAACCGUUAUUUUAAAAAGUUGUUAUUUUGAGGGUAGAACAAAAUAUCUCAGCUUAUAUUUUCGUUUGUAGGAUUUGCGGCCUAUUAUAAUUAGAAGUAUAUUAGAUGCAUUUAUGUGAAUAAUAAUAAUUAAGAAUAAUUUAUGUACUUAUUGUUUUGAAUAAAUGAAUAUUUGUUUUAUGUUG
Long non-coding RNA from Leptidea sinapis, 4644 nucleotides. RefSeq lists it as uncharacterized. The record is from RefSeq and is a predicted model, not a curated record. NCBI's taxonomy places the organism in Eukaryota, Metazoa, Arthropoda, Insecta, Lepidoptera, Pieridae. The transcript is spliced from 2 exons.